This 7452-nucleotide small RNA is filed under the name Pan troglodytes (chimpanzee). Its description in RNAcentral is "retained intron". The record is from RNAcentral. Lineage: Eukaryota; Metazoa; Chordata; Mammalia; Primates; Hominidae.
CCUGUUUCUAAACAGCUACACGGAGAUUGGGACCAGCCACCCUCAUGCCAUGGAGCUUCAGACGCAGCACAAUCACUUUGCCAUGAACUGUAUGAACGUGUAUGUAAAUAUAAACCGCAUCAUGUCGGUGGCCAAUCGUCUGGUGGAGUCUGGCCACUAUGCCUCGCAGCAGAUCAGGCAGAUCGCGAGUCAGCUGGAGCAGGAGUGGAAGGCGUUUGCGGCAGCCCUGGAUGAGCGGAGCACCUUGCUGGACAUGUCCUCCAUUUUCCACCAGAAGGCUGAAAAGUAUAUGAGCAACGUGGAUUCAUGGUGUAAAGCUUGCGGUGAGGUAGACCUUCCCUCAGAGCUGCAGGACCUAGAAGAUGCCAUUCAUCACCACCAGGGAAUAUAUGAACAUAUCACUCUUGCUUAUUCUGAGGUCAGCCAAGAUGGGAAGUCGCUCCUUGACAAGCUCCAGCGGCCCUUGACUCCCGGCAGCUCUGAUUCCCUGACGGCCUCUGCCAACUACUCCAAGGCCGUGCACCAUGUCCUGGAUGUCAUCCACGAGGUGCUGCACCACCAGCGGCAGCUUGAGAACAUCUGGCAACACCGCAAGGUCCGGCUGCAUCAGAGGCUGCAGCUGUGUGUUUUCCAGCAGGACGUUCAGCAGGUGCUAGACUGGAUCGAGAACCACGGAGAAGCAUUUCUGAGCAAACAUACAGGUGUGGGGAAAUCUCUUCAUCGGGCCAGAGCAUUGCAGAAACGUCAUGAAGAUUUUGAAGAAGUGGCACAGAACACAUACACCAAUGCGGAUAAAUUACUGGAAGCAGCAGAACAGCUGGCUCAGACUGGGGAAUGUGACCCCGAAGAGAUUUAUCAGGCUGCCCAUCAGCUGGAAGACCGGAUUCAAGAUUUCGUUCGGCGUGUUGAGCAGCGAAAGAUCCUGCUGGACAUGUCAGUGUCCUUUCACACCCAUGUGAAAGAGCUGUGGACGUGGCUGGAGGAGCUGCAGAAGGAGCUGCUGGACGACGUGUAUGCCGAGUCGGUGGAGGCCGUGCAGGACCUCAUCAAGCGCUUCGGCCAGCAGCAGCAGACCACCCUGCAGGUGACUGUCAACGUGAUCAAGGAAGGGGAGGACCUCAUCCAGCAGCUCAGGGACUCCGCCAUCUCCAGUAACAAGACCCCCCACAACAGCUCCAUCAACCACAUCGAGACGGUGCUGCAGCAGCUGGACGAGGCGCAGUCGCAGAUGGAGGAGCUCUUCCAGGAGCGCAAGAUCAAGCUGGAGCUCUUCCUGCAGCUGCGCAUCUUCGAGAGGGACGCCAUCGACAUUAUCUCAGACCUCGAGUCUUGGAAUGAUGAGCUUUCUCAGCAAAUGAAUGACUUCGACACAGAAGAUCUCACGAUUGCAGAGCAGCGCCUCCAGCACCAUGCAGACAAAGCCUUGACCAUGAACAACUUGACUUUUGACGUCAUCCACCAAGGGCAAGAUCUUCUGCAGUAUGUCAAUGAGGUCCAGGCCUCUGGCGUGGAGCUGCUGUGUGAUAGAGAUGUAGACAUGGCAACUCGGGUCCAGGACCUGCUGGAGUUUCUUCAUGAAAAACAGCAGGAAUUGGAUUUAGCCGCAGAGCAGCAUCGGAAACACCUGGAGCAGUGCGUGCAGCUGCGCCACCUGCAGGCAGAAGUGAAACAGGUGCUGGGUUGGAUCCGCAACGGAGAGUCCAUGUUAAAUGCCGGACUUAUCACAGCCAGCUCAUUACAAGAGGCAGAGCAGCUCCAGCGAGAGCACGAGCAGUUCCAGCAUGCCAUUGAGAAAACACAUCAGAGCGCGCUGCAGGUGCAGCAGAAGGCAGAAGCCAUGCUACAGGCCAACCACUACGACAUGGACAUGAUCCGGGACUGUGCCGAGAAGGUGGCGUCUCACUGGCAGCAGCUCAUGCUCAAGAUGGAAGAUCGCCUCAAGCUCGUCAACGCCUCUGUCGCUUUCUACAAAACCUCAGAGCAGGUCUGCAGCGUCCUCGAGAGCCUGGAACAGGAGUACAAGAGAGAAGAAGACUGGUGUGGCGGGGCAGAUAAGCUGGGCCCAAACUCUGAGACGGACCACGUGACGCCCAUGAUCAGCAAGCACCUGGAGCAGAAGGAGGCAUUCCUGAAGGCUUGCACCCUUGCUCGGAGGAAUGCAGACGUCUUCCUGAAAUACCUGCACAGGAACAGCGUGAACAUGCCAGGAAUGGUGACGCAUAUCAAAGCUCCCGAACAGCAAGUGAAAAAUAUCUUGAAUGAACUCUUCCAACGGGAGAACAGGGUAUUGCAUUACUGGACCAUGAGGAAGAGACGGCUGGACCAGUGUCAGCAGUACGUGGUCUUUGAGAGGAGUGCCAAGCAGGCUUUGGAAUGGAUCCAUGACAACGGCGAGUUCUACCUUUCCACACACACCUCCACGGGCUCCAGUAUACAGCACACCCAGGAGCUCCUGAAAGAGCACGAGGAGUUCCAGAUAACUGCAAAGCAAACCAAAGAGAGAGUGAAGCUAUUGAUACAGCUGGCUGAUGGCUUUUGUGAAAAAGGGCAUGCCCAUGCGGCAGAGAUAAAAAAAUGUGUUACUGCUGUGGAUAAGAGGUACAGAGAUUUCUCUCUGCGGAUGGAGAAGUACAGGACCUCUUUGGAAAAAGCCCUGGGGAUUUCUUCAGAUUCCAACAAAUCGAGUAAAAGUCUCCAGCUAGAUAUCAUUCCAGCCAGUAUCCCUGGCUCAGAGGUGAAACUUCGAGAUGCUGCUCAUGAACUUAAUGAAGAGAAGCGGAAAUCUGCCCGCAGGAAAGAGUUCAUAAUGGCUGAGCUCAUUCAAACUGAAAAGGCUUAUGUAAGAGACCUCCGGGAAUGUAUGGAUACGUACCUGUGGGAAAUGACCAGUGGCGUGGAAGAGAUUCCACCUGGCAUUGUAAACAAAGAACUCAUCAUCUUUGGAAACAUGCAAGAAAUCUACGAAUUUCAUAAUAACAUAUUCCUAAAGGAGCUGGAAAAAUAUGAACAGUUGCCAGAGGAUGUUGGACAUUGUUUUGUUACCUGGGCAGACAAGUUUCAGAUGUAUGUCACAUAUUGCAAAAAUAAGCCUGAUUCUACUCAGCUGAUAUUGGAACAUGCAGGGUCCUAUUUUGACGAGAUACAGCAGCGACAUGGAUUAGCCAAUUCCAUUUCUUCCUACCUUAUUAAACCAGUUCAGCGAAUAACGAAGUAUCAGCUCCUUUUAAAAGAGCUGCUGACGUGCUGUGAGGAAGGAAAGGGAGAGAUUAAAGAUGGCCUGGAGGUGAUGCUCAGCGUGCCGAAGCGAGCCAAUGACGCCAUGCACCUCAGCAUGCUGGAAGGGUUUGAUGAAAACAUUGAGUCUCAGGGAGAACUCAUCCUACAGGAAUCCUUCCAAGUGUGGGACCCAAAAACCUUAAUUCGAAAGGGUCGAGAACGGCAUCUCUUCCUUUUUGAAAUGUCCUUAGUAUUUAGUAAAGAAGUGAAAGAUUCCAGUGGGAGAAGCAAGUACCUUUAUAAAAGCAAAUUGUUUACCUCAGAGUUGGGUGUCACAGAACAUGUUGAAGGAGACCCUUGCAAAUUUGCACUGUGGGUGGGGAGAACACCAACUUCAGAUAAUAAAAUUGUCCUUAAGGCUUCCAGCAUAGAGAACAAGCAGGACUGGAUAAAGCAUAUCCGCGAAGUCAUCCAGGAGCGGACGAUCCACCUGAAGGGAGCCCUGAAGGAGCCCAUUCACAUCCCUAAGACCGCUCCCGCCACAAGACAGAAGGGAAGGAGGGAUGGAGAGGAUCUGGACAGCCAAGGAGACGGCAGCAGCCAGCCUGAUACGAUUUCCAUUGCCUCACGGACGUCUCAGAACACGCUGGACAGCGAUAAGCUCUCUGGUGGCUGUGAGCUGACAGUGGUGAUCCAUGACUUCACCGCUUGCAACAGCAACGAGCUGACCAUCCGACGGGGCCAGACCGUGGAAGUUCUGGAGCGGCCACAUGACAAGCCUGACUGGUGUCUGGUGCGGACCACUGACCGCUCCCCAGCGGCAGAAGGCCUGGUCCCCUGUGGCUCACUGUGCAUCGCCCACUCCAGAAGUAGCAUGGAAAUGGAGGGCAUCUUCAACCACAAAGACUCGCUCUCCGUCUCCAGCAAUGACGCCAGUCCACCCGCAUCCGUGGCUUCCCUCCAGCCCCACAUGAUCGGGGCCCAGAGCUCGCCGGGCCCCAAGCGGCCGGGCAACACCCUGCGCAAGUGGCUCACCAGCCCCGUGCGGCGGCUCAGCAGCGGCAAGGCCGACGGGCACGUGAAGAAGCUGGCGCACAAGCACAAGAAGAGCCGCGAGGUCCGCAAGAGCGCUGACGCCGGCUCGCAGAAGGACUCCGACGACAGUGCGGCCACCCCGCAGGACGAGACGGUCGAGGAGAGAGGCCGGAACGAGGGCCUGAGCAGCGGUACUCUCUCCAAAUCCUCCUCCUCGGGGAUGCAGAGCUGUGGAGAAGAGGAAGGCGAGGAGGGGGCCGACGCCGUGCCCCUGCCGCCACCCAUGGCCAUCCAGCAGCACAGCCUCCUCCAGCCAGACUCACAGGAUGACAAGGCCUCUUCUCGGUUAUUAGUCCGCCCCACCAGCUCCGAAACACCGAGUGCAGCCGAGCUCGUCAGUGCAAUUGAGGAACUCGUGAAAAGCAAGAUGGCACUGGAGGAUCGCCCCAGCUCACUCCUUGUUGACCAGGGAGAUAGUAGCAGCCCUUCCUUCAACCCUUCGGAUAAUUCCCUUCUCUCUUCCUCCUCGCCCAUUGAUGAGAUGGAAGAAAGGAAAUCCAGCUCUUUAAAGAGAAGACACUACGUUUUGCAAGAACUAGUGGAGACAGAGCGUGACUAUGUGCGGGACCUUGGCUAUGUGGUUGAGGGCUACAUGGCACUUAUGAAAGAAGAUGGUGUUCCUGAUGACAUGAAAGGAAAAGACAAAAUUGUGUUCGGCAACAUCCAUCAGAUUUACGACUGGCACAGAGACUUUUUUUUAGGAGAGUUAGAGAAGUGCCUUGAAGAUCCAGAAAAACUAGGAUCCCUUUUUGUUAAACACGAGAGAAGGUUGCACAUGUACAUAGUUUAUUGUCAAAAUAAACCAAAGUCUGAGCACAUUGUCUCAGAAUACAUUGAUACCUUUUUUGAGGACUUAAAGCAGCGUCUUGGCCACAGGUUACAGCUCACAGAUCUGUUGAUCAAACCAGUGCAGAGAAUCAUGAAGUAUCAGCUGUUACUGAAGGACUUCCUCAAGUAUUCCAAAAAGGCCAGCCUGGAUACAUCAGAAUUAGAGAGAGCUGUGGAAGUCAUGUGCAUAGUACCCAGGCGGUGCAACGACAUGAUGAACGUGGGGCGGCUGCAAGGAUUCGACGGGAAAAUCGUUGCCCAGGGUAAACUGCUCUUGCAGGACACAUUCUUGGUCACAGACCAAGAUGCAGGACUUCUGCCUCGCUGCAGAGAGAGGCGCAUCUUCCUCUUUGAGCAGAUCGUCAUAUUCAGCGAGCCACUUGAUAAAAAGAAGGGCUUCUCCAUGCCGGGAUUCCUGUUUAAGAACAGUAUCAAGGUGAGUUGCCUUUGCCUGGAGGAAAAUGUGGAAAAUGAUCCCUGUAAAUUUGCUCUGACAUCGAGGACGGGUGACGUGGUAGAGACCUUCAUUUUGCAUUCAUCUAGUCCAAGUGUCCGGCAAACUUGGAUCCAUGAAAUCAACCAAAUUUUAGAAAACCAGCGCAAUUUUUUAAAUGCCUUGACAUCGCCAAUCGAGUACCAGAGGAACCACAGCGGGGGCGGCGGCGGCAGCGGGGGCAGCGGCGGGGGUGGGGGCAGCGGCGGCGGCGGGGCCCCCAGUGGCGGCAGCGGCCACAGUGGCGGCCCCAGCAGCUGCGGCGGCGCCCCCAGCACGAGCAGGAGCCGGCCCUCCCGGAUCCCCCAGCCUGUCCGACACCACCCCCCCGUGCUGGUCUCCUCUGCAGCCUCGAGCCAGGCAGAGGCAGACAAGAUGUCAGGUACGUCCACCCCCGGGCCCUCCCUGCCUCCCCCUGGCGCGGCCCCCGAGGCCGGCCCCAGCGCGCCCAGCAGGCGGCCCCCCGGCGCGGACGCCGAGGGGUCCGAGCGAGAAGCGGAGCCGAUCCCCAAGAUGAAGGUGCUGGAGAGCCCCAGGAAAUGCGCCGCGAACGCCUCGGGGUCGAGCCCAGACGCCCCCGCCAAGGACGCGCGCGCUAGCCUGGGCACCCUGCCGCUUGGGAAGCCCCGGACCGGGGCCGCGUCGCCGCUGAACUCGCCGCUCUCCAGCGCGGUCCCUUCUCCUCUCGGCAAGGAGCCCUUCCCCCCCAGCAGCCCCCUGCAGAAGGGGGGCUCCUUCUGGAGCUCCAUCCCCGCCUCCCCCGCCAGCCGACCCGGCUCCUUCACCUUCCCGGGGGACAGCGACUCCCUCCAGCGGCAGACACCCCGCCACGCGGCCCCUGGCAAGGAUACUGACCGCAUGAGCACGUGCUCCUCGGCCAGCGAGCAGUCCGUGCAGUCCACCCAGAGCAACGGGGUAAGCGCGUCGGGGGGCCCGCGCCCUCCCGCCCCCCUGCCUCUGUCCCGCCAGCUCUAAACGCCACCGCGGCUGUUCUCACUAACUCAGCUGCCCAGCGCUCUCCGCGGCCCGUUGCGGCCUCUACCUGGGACCAGGCUAACCCUCCUGCGGGCCGGCCCACGGCGCUACUAACUACUCCUUGCUUUGUUCGUGUCUUCUAAUAAGAGCAAGCCGAUCAUUAACCUUCUCAACGCAGCGUCUUUUGGUUUCUUCCAUUUCCAACCAGCAGAAUAUCUUCUUGGAACUUUCUUUUUUAACCUCUGCCUUCCUCACGCACCUAUUUUUUGGAGGGUUCCUUUUCCCUGCUCUCUACCUCCUGUUUAAAUUGAAACCUGUACACUUUAAGCUUUUUGCUCAUCGCUUGGUUUUGCUCUUUUAUGCCUUAAAUUAUCUUUGCGGCAUUUUUGACUCAUCUGCUGGGGAAGACCAUUCCCUCAAGAAAACUUCCAACAGCAACUCAAAGCAAACUAAGAUGAAAAAAUGGGGGGAAAGAAUCUGUCCACUGGGAACGCUUUACGUCACCGUGUUGCUCUGGAAGACAGAGACUGCUCUGGGCACCUGGCGAGGCGGCUCUGCAGUGCAGGCUGGGGCCGGUCCCUGCGGCCUGCUGGGCUCUGGCCUCGUUUGGCCCGUCACUCAUGCUGCCGUCUCAAGCACAAGGGUUGCUGUGGUGGGUUUUCCCUCUGUUUCCUGCUUCCUCACUGUCCUACCCACCUGUUUCCUACAGGGCAGAUGGCCUGGCCCGUAACACUUUCCUGAAGGCAUGCGUGAGUGAAUAGAACUGUUCUAAUGAGUGUAUGUUUGAACGCUUUAUAAAUUUUUAAAUACAUUUCUCUAAAAGGGUCUGUGUCUCUCUUUAUAUU